This 866-nucleotide ribosomal RNA is filed under the name uncultured bacterium. RNAcentral's name for it is "bacterial SSU rRNA". It matches the Rfam family "Bacterial small subunit ribosomal RNA", at positions 28 to 869 of the family's 1533-position model. The record is from RNAcentral.
GACGAACGCUGGCGGCGUGCUUAACACAUGCAAGUCGAACGGGAUCCUUAUCUUCCUUUUUGGUUGGUUUGGUGAGAGUGGCGAACGGGUGAGUAACACGUGAGUAACCUGCCCUCUUCUUCUGGAUAACCGCAUGAAAGUGUGGCUAAUACGGGAUGUUCUGUCUGCCCUGCAUGGGGUGGGUGGGAAAGGCUUCACCGGUUUUGGUGUUGUGGUGGGGGAUGGGCUCGCGGCCUAUCAGCUUGUUGGUGGGGUGAUGGCCUACCAAGGCGGUGACGGGUAGCCGGCCUGAGAGGGUGGGCGGUCACACUGGGACUGAGAUACGGCCCAGACUCCUACGGGAGGCAGCAGUGGGGGAUUUUGCACAAUGGGCGCAAGCUUGAUGCAGCGACGCCGCGUGAGGGAUGGAGGCCUUCGGGUUGUGAACCUCUUUCGCUGGGUUGAAAGGCCAUGCUUUGGGUGUGGUUGAUUGAUACUGGUAAAGAAGUACCGGCUAACUACGUGCCAGCAGCCGCGGUAAUACGUAGGGUACUAGCGUUGUCCGGAAUUAUUGGGCGUAAAGGGCUUGUAGGUGGUGUGUCGCGUCUGUCGUGAAAUCCCAUGGCUUAACUGUGGGCUUGCGGUGGGUACGGGCAUGCUUGAGUGCGGUAGGGGAGACUGGAAUUCCUGGUGUAGCGGUGGAAUGCGCAGAUAUCAGGAGGAAUACCGGUGGCGAAGGCGGGUCUCUGGGCCGCUACUGUCGCUGAGGAGCGAAAGCGUGGGGAGCGAACAGGAUUAGAUACCCUGGUAGUCCAUGCUGUAAACGUUGGGCACUAGGUGUGGGGGCCGUUUUGGUUUCUGCGCCGUAGCUAACGCAUUAAGUGUCC